RNAcentral lists this ribosomal RNA (509 nucleotides) under uncultured bacterium. Its description in RNAcentral is "bacterial SSU rRNA". It matches the Rfam family "Bacterial small subunit ribosomal RNA", at positions 28 to 533 of the family's 1533-position model. The record is from RNAcentral.
GAUGAACGCUAGCGGCAGGCUUAAUACAUGCAAGUCGAGGGGCAGCGCGGGUAGCAAUACCUGGCGGCGACCGGCGCACGGGUGCGUAACACGUAUGCAACCUACCUUAAACUGGGGAAUAGCCCCUCGAAAGAGGGAUUAAUGCCCCAUAACACUGUGAAAAGGCAUCUUUUUACAUUUAAAGCUCCGGCGGUUUAAGAUGGGCAUGCGCGACAUUAGCUAGUUGGUGAGGUAACGGCUCACCAAGGCUGUGAUGUCUAGGGGUUCUGAGAGGAAAAUCCCCCACACUGGUACCUGAGACACGGACCAGACUCCUACGGGAGGCAGGCAGUAAGGAAUAUUGGUCAAUGGGCGGAAGCCUGAACCAGCCAUCCCGCGUGAAGGAAGAAGGCCUUAGGGUUGUAAACUUCUUUUCUGUUUUGAAGAAUAAGCUUGUCGAGACAAGUGAUGCCGGUAGACAGGAAUAAGCAUCGGUAACUCGUGCCAGCAGCCGGGUAAACUGUAGUCGU